UUAACGGCCGCGGUACCCUAACCGUGCGAAGGUAGCAUAAUCACUUGUUCUUUAAAUGGGGACUAGUAUCAACGGCAUCACGAGGGUUGCACUGUCUCCUCCCCCCAAUCAGUGAAACUGAUCUCCCCGUGAAGAAGCGGGGAUAUAAUAAUAAGACGAGAAGACCCCAUGGAGCUUCAAAUCUACAGCAACUCUAACACAUAAUACCCUACAACCGCAGAGCCGUGCAUGAAGAUUUUAGGUUGGGGCGACCGCGGAGCAAAAAUCACCCUCCACGACGAAAGGGGCUAAACCCUUAUCCCAGAGCCACCGCUCUAAGAAUUAGCACACUAACGAACUGUGACCCGAUAAUCGAUCAACGGACCAAGUUACCCUGGGGAUAACAGCGCAAUCUACUUCAAGAGCCCGUAUCGACAAGUAGGCUUACGACCUCGAUGUUGGAUCAGGGUACCCCAGUGGUGCAGCCGCUACUAACGGUUCGUUUGUUCAACGAUUAAAACCCUACGUGAU
This 510-nucleotide ribosomal RNA is filed under the name Rhacophorus verrucopus (serrate-toed treefrog). Its description in RNAcentral is "partial large subunit ribosomal RNA". It matches the Rfam family "Bacterial large subunit ribosomal RNA", at positions 1924 to 2604 of the family's 2925-position model. The record is from RNAcentral. Lineage: Eukaryota; Metazoa; Chordata; Amphibia; Anura; Rhacophoridae.